RNAcentral lists this ribosomal RNA (305 nucleotides) under uncultured bacterium. Its description in RNAcentral is "bacterial SSU rRNA". It matches the Rfam family "Bacterial small subunit ribosomal RNA", at positions 338 to 660 of the family's 1533-position model. The record is from RNAcentral.
CCUACGGGGCGCAGCAGUGGGGGAUAUUGCACAAUGGGGGGAACCCUGAUGCAGCGACGCCGCGUGGGCGAUGGAGUGCUUCGGCAUGUAAAGCCCUAUCAGCAGGGAAGAAAAUGACGGUACCUGACUAAGAAGCCCCGGCUAACUACGUGCCAGCAGCCGCGGUAAUACGUAGGGGGCAAGCGUUAUCCGGAUUUACUGGGUGUAAAGGGAGCGUAGACGGUGAUGCAAGUCAGAAGUGAAAGCCCGCGGCUCAACUGCGGGACUGCUUUUGAAACUGUAUGACUGGAGUGCAGGAGAGGUAA